CGACGUAGGUAACCUGCCUUGUAGCGGGGGAUAACUAUUGGAAACGAUAGCUAAUACCGCAUAACAAUGGAUGACACAUGUCAUUUAUUUGAAAGGGGCAAUUGCUCCACUACGAGGUGGACCUGCGUUGUAUUAGCUAGUAGGUGAGGUAACGGCUCACCUAGGCGACGAUACAUAGCCGACCUGAGAGGGUGAUCGGCCACACUGGGACUGAGACACGGCCCAG
This 226-nucleotide ribosomal RNA is filed under the name uncultured bacterium. RNAcentral describes it as "partial 16S ribosomal RNA". It matches the Rfam family "Bacterial small subunit ribosomal RNA", at positions 113 to 334 of the family's 1533-position model. The record is from RNAcentral.